CUCCUCUCAGGGUCUCACCUGGAGAGUUUCCAGCAUUCUACCAGUCUCGACUAUGGGAGGGAGAGUUAAGCAGAGGCAUACCCAUUCCAUUCCUAGCUUGGGCGGUGGCUAAGGAAUGGAAAGCAAUCUGCUCUAAGU
This is a small nucleolar RNA of Ornithorhynchus anatinus (platypus), 138 nucleotides long. The record is from RefSeq and is a predicted model, not a curated record. Lineage: Eukaryota; Metazoa; Chordata; Mammalia; Monotremata; Ornithorhynchidae.